GUGGGGAAUCUUCCGCAAUGGACGAAAGUCUGACGGAGCAACGCCGCGUGAGUGAAGAAGGUUUUCGGAUCGUAAAGCUCUUUCGUUAGGGACGAACGUGCUCUUUGUGAAUAAUGAGGAGUAAUGACGGUACCUAAAUAAGAAGCCACGGCUAACUACGUGCCAGCAGCCGCGGUAAUACGUAGGUGGCAAGCGUUGUCCGGAAUUAUUUGGCGUAAAGCGCGCGCAGGCGGGAUAUCAAGUCUGUCUUAAAAGUGCGAGGCUCAACCUCGUGAGGGGACAGAAACUGGUAUUCUUGAGUGUCGGAGAGGAAAGUGGAAUUCCAAGUGUAGCGGUGAAAUGCGUAGAGAUUUGGAAGAACACCAGUGGCGAAGGCGACUUUCUGGACGAUGUCUGACGCUGAGGCGCGAAAGCUAGGGGAGCGAACGGGAUUAGAUACCCGGGUAGUCC
This 450-nucleotide ribosomal RNA is filed under the name uncultured bacterium. Its description in RNAcentral is "partial 16S ribosomal RNA". It matches the Rfam family "Bacterial small subunit ribosomal RNA", at positions 354 to 796 of the family's 1533-position model. The record is from RNAcentral.